UAAGGGGCCCAGGGGGCUAGUCCUGGUAGAAAAGCUUAGCAGGGUUUUCUUGUGUUAACAGGCUCCUU
RNAcentral lists this transfer RNA (68 nucleotides) under Aprasia parapulchella. Its description in RNAcentral is "tRNA-Ser". The record is from RNAcentral. Lineage: Eukaryota; Metazoa; Chordata; Lepidosauria; Squamata; Pygopodidae.